UUGAACGCUGGCGGCAGGCCUAACACAUGCAAGUCGAGCGGAUGAAGGGAGCUUGCUUCUGGAUUCAGCGGCGGACGGGUGAGUAAUGCCUAGGAAUCUGCCUGGUAGUGGGGGAUAACGUCCGGAAACGGGCGCUAAUACCGCAUACGUCCUGAGGGAGAAAGUGGGGGAUCUUCGGACCUCACGCUAUCAGAUGAGCCUAGGUCGGAUUAGCUAGUUGGUGGGGUAAAGGCCUACCAAGGCGACGAUCCGUAACUGGUCUGAGAGGAUGAUCAGUCACACUGGAACUGAGACACGGUCCAGACUCCUACGGGAGGCAGCAGUGGGGAAUAUUGGACAAUGGGCGAAAGCCUGAUCCAGCCAUGCCGCGUGUGUGAAGAAGGUCUUCGGAUUGUAAAGCACUUUAAGUUGGGAGGAAGGGCAGUAAGUUAAUACCUUGCUGUUUUGACGUUACCAACAGAAUAAGCACCGGCUAACUUCGUG
This 483-nucleotide ribosomal RNA is filed under the name uncultured bacterium. RNAcentral describes it as "partial 16S ribosomal RNA". It matches the Rfam family "Bacterial small subunit ribosomal RNA", at positions 30 to 507 of the family's 1533-position model. The record is from RNAcentral.